RNAcentral lists this non-coding RNA (30 nucleotides) under Mus musculus (house mouse). Lineage: Eukaryota; Metazoa; Chordata; Mammalia; Rodentia; Muridae. The record is from RNAcentral.
UGAUAUUAAUAUCUUGGAAACUGUUGUGGG